RNAcentral lists this ribosomal RNA (284 nucleotides) under uncultured bacterium. RNAcentral's name for it is "partial 16S ribosomal RNA". It matches the Rfam family "Bacterial small subunit ribosomal RNA", at positions 335 to 636 of the family's 1533-position model. The record is from RNAcentral.
CUUCCUACUGGACGCAGCAGUGGGGGAUAUUGCACAAUGGGGGAAACCCUGAUGCAGCGACGCCGCGUCGGUGAAGAAGCGCCUCAGCGCGUAAAGCCCUGUCAGCAGGGAAGAAAAUGACGGUACCUGAAGAAGAAGCCCCGGCUAACUACGUGCCAGCAGCCGCGGUAAUACGUAGGGGGCAAGCGUUCUCCGGUUUUACUGGGUGUAAAGGGGUCGCAGACGGCGAUGCAAGCCAGGAGUGAAAGCCCGGGGCCCAACCCCGGUACUUCUCUUGGCAAUGC